RNAcentral lists this unclassified non-coding RNA (577 nucleotides) under uncultured bacterium. RNAcentral describes it as "partial contains 16S ribosomal RNA, 16S-23S ribosomal RNA intergenic spacer, and 23S ribosomal RNA". The stretch from base 464 to 577 matches the Rfam family "Bacterial large subunit ribosomal RNA", at positions 1 to 114 of the family's 2925-position model. The record is from RNAcentral.
UAUAGAGAAUACCGUUUCCAUGAAAACGGUCAAAUCCAAAGCGACUGUCUGAACAUCUCUUUUUGAAAAUGGGUAUAAUUCUGCUGGGUCAGUAGUUCAGUUGGUUAGAAUGCCGCUCUGAUACAGCGGAGGUCGAAGAUUCGAGUUCUUCCUGACCCACCACUUAAAUUGAUGAGGUUGGAAUCAAAAACAAAUACUUGUUUUUGAUUCCAGAUGUUCUGAUGAAUAUCUUCGGAAUCUGCUUUUAUUAGCAAUCAUUGUAAAUCGGUUUUUAAUGUCGUAAAUCAAACUUUAUGGAAACAUGACUUUUGAUUUAUUGAACAUCGUAAUCUCAAAAAUCUUUCUAAAUAGAGUAAUCACGAAAGUGAUAAUUCAAUUAGAGAAGCAAGAAUCAACUUAAAUGCUUAAAAAACUCAUUAAGUUCUUUUGAUUGUGUUUGAAGACUUUCUCUUCAAGCAUAAGAUAAAAAGUAACAAAGGGUGUUUAGUGGAUGCCUUGGCAAUCAGAGGCGAUGAAGGACGUGAAAGACUGCGAUAAGUCCGGGUGAGGCGUCAAUAUCCUUUGACCCCGGAAUUUC